GUCCAUAAAUGGAGAAGAAAUUUACUCCAUGGUGGACUCACCCAUAACUGAUUUAGAUGAUGAGGUGUGGGACAUUUUCAGAUGAUUAUAUUCAGUUGCUGUUGGUAUCCUGGACCUAGCAUAGAACGUCAACACCAAGACAAAAGUAUGCCAAAUUGCAGGGUUUAUUGCCGGCAACCACGGAGGACUCACGUCUCUCCAACCCGUGGCAGGGAAAGAAGGGUGACAAGACCUUUUUAUACCGGGACAUGGAUGAAUCUGGAAACCAUAAUUCUCAGCAAACUGACACAAGAACAGAAAAUCAAACACCGCAUGUUCUCCCUCCUAGGCGGGUGUUGAACAAAGAGAACACAUGGACACAGAAUGAGAAGCAGUAACUACAGGCCUGGGAGACCCUGCUGCUCUGCCCUUCUGGCUUCAAAUAAGCCCCAAGAUGAGGAAUAAAUAGUAAUGUGAAAAAGCAGACUCAGGAUUAAUGUAUGAAACAUUUACGAGAUCUUCUCUGGUCUAAGAUACAUACUGUAUUUGGAAUAUUUAACAAUAAAUAAAGAACAUGUGAAAGAAUUUAAUUUAUUGAAUGCAUUUUUCAAUAUUAGAUAUUUUGAGACUAGUAAUGAAAGUCUGCAUCAAACAAACUUUUCUCCCUGCUAUGCCUCAUAUCUUCAGAAAUGUAAUUUCCUGAAUAAGUAAUCUUAAUCCAGUGAAGAUUUAAUUUGGUCUUUUUAAUUUAUAAAUCGUAAUUCACCUCCUCAAUAAAAUGUUGCUGAAUUUAAAUAGCAAGGGAUAUAUGAAAGACGUAUUAAAAUAUCUUAAGCCUAUUUUCCUUAUGCUGCAUUAUAAAAUAAUUUUUAAUUCUUAAAGCUCAUCUUAGCCCAUUCCUGCAUAAAACACAAGAAUAAUGGCUUCUUGAAUGGUUAUUCUGCUGCCCCAGUGACCUCAAUAAGUCAAUAAUAUGCCUGCAAUACAUUCCUCAGUCAAAGAAAUAUUACAAUACCCAUAAUAAAAUUCACUUCUCUUGAUUUGUAUAAAAUGAUUAAUUUUUGUAUAUAACUGCUAAUAAUUUUUAUACAUAAGGUCAAUGGCAGUCAUUGUCAAAGGUGGACUUCUUAAGGACAGCAACCAUAACAAUCAUGGAUGGAAAAGAAUUACAAAUAAAAUGAUUGAAUAAAAGUGGUUGAUAUAUUUUACAAAAUCAAUGUUUCCUGAUCUUUAGUUAAAGAGCAGGAAAAGAGAACCAAAGUAGAAAUUUCAUAAUACAUAUUGACAGAACCAUCUGUGAGAUUUAAAGUGGCCAGGCAGAAAGGUUCCACCUGGGACGUCUUUAAAGUGAUACAUUCACAGCAGUUAGCACAGAAUUUUAACUUCCUAUAGAAGAUCUUUUAUGCAAACAUGUAUUCUGAGGUUCCUGUAAGUGAAUAAUACAGGGAAUGUUGUUAAGUUGUUACCC
Molecule: long non-coding RNA, 1447 nt
Filed under: Callithrix jacchus (white-tufted-ear marmoset)
Lineage: Eukaryota; Metazoa; Chordata; Mammalia; Primates; Cebidae
Description: lncRNA (ENSCJAG00000065045.2)
Source: RNAcentral